GUGGUUCAGUACCACUUACAAUAAAUGUCCAGGGGACGUGGAUACCCCCGGGAAACUGACUAUAAACCCUUCCCUGCCACACUUUCUGGAAUGGGUAAUGACUCAAAUCUAUAUCGCCCCUGUUUUGGACUGCGACCGAUCAGGUAGUUGGUGAGGUAAUGGCCCACCACUUUUGUAACCGGUACGGGCUCUGAGAGGAGGAGCCCGGAGAUGGGCACUGAGACAAUGGCCCAAUCCCUAUGGGGCGCCCCUGGCGCGAAACCUCUGCUAUACGCUACAGCUUGACAGGGUUACUCUGAGUGAUUUCCGUUAAGGAGAUCUUUUGGCACCUCUAAAAAUGGUGCAGAAUAAGGGGUGGGCAAGUCUGGUGUCCCCCGCCGCGGUAAUACCACCACCCCUAGUGGUCGGGACGUUUAUUGGGCCUACAGCAUUCGUACCCGGUUCUUCAAGUCUUCUUUUAAAUCCACCUGCUUAACACAUGGGCUGCGGAAGAUACUAUAGAGCUAGGAGGCGGGAGAGGCAAGCGGUACUCUAUGGGUAGGGGUAACAUCCGUUGAUCCAUUGAAUACCACCAGUGGCGAAGGCGGCUUGCCCAACGCGCUCGACAGUGAUGGAUGAAAGCUGGGGGAGCUAACCGGAUUAGAUACUCGGGUAGUCCCAGCUGUAAACGAUGCAGACUCAGUGAUGAGUUGGCUUAUUGCUAACUCAUUGCCGCACGGAAGCCGUUAAGUUUGCCGCCUGUUGAGUACGGCCGCAAGACUGAAACUUAAAUGAAUUGGCGCGGGGAGCA
Molecule: ribosomal RNA, 790 nt
Filed under: uncultured archaeon
Lineage: Archaea
Description: bacterial SSU rRNA
Rfam family: Archaeal small subunit ribosomal RNA
Source: RNAcentral